CGGUCUCGAUUUAUCGGGAUAGUGGCGAACGGGUGAGUAACGCGUAAGUAACCUGCCCUCAAGUAGGGGAUAACUUUGAGAAAUUAGAGCUAAUACCGUAUAUGGUGGUAGGGGUAAUGCUCUAUCACUAAAGCCUUAGGGCGCUUGGGGAGGGGCUUGCGUCCGAUUAGCUAGUUGGUAGGGUAACGGCUUACCAAGGCGAUGAUCGGUAGCUGGUUUGAGAGGACGGCCAGCCACAUUGGGACUGAGACACGGCCCAGACUUCUAUGGGAGGCAGCAGCAAGGAAUAUUGUGCAAUGGGCGAAAGCCUGACACAGCGACACCGCGUGGGGGAUGAAGGCCUUCGGGUCGUAAACCCCUUUUCUCAGGGAAGAAUAAUGACGGUACCUGAGGAAUAAGUCACGGCUAACUACGUGCCAGCAGCCGCGGUAAUACGUAGGUGGCGAGCGUUAUCCGGAUUUACUGGGCGUAAAGAGGGCGUAGGCGGCUUUUCAAGUCGGAUAUAAAAUCUCCUGGCUUAACUGGG
RNAcentral lists this ribosomal RNA (526 nucleotides) under uncultured bacterium. Its description in RNAcentral is "bacterial SSU rRNA". It matches the Rfam family "Bacterial small subunit ribosomal RNA", at positions 67 to 617 of the family's 1533-position model. The record is from RNAcentral.